AUGGGGGGGCUCCGCCGCGGCGGAGGCACGGACGGACUCCACUCCCGCCGCCGCCGCCACCACCACAGCCCCAGCCACAAUGCCGCGCCCCAUCUCGCCGCCGGAGUUGGAUCCUCGAGCAAACAAGGUGGUGAACUUGGGAUGCAUUCCAAUUCCUUGUUUGAUGGGAGCAGGCUUUGUACACCCAAAAGAGCUGGUCGCACCCCGAUGAAAAUGCUAAUAGAUGACGAUGUCUACAGAGAUGUCACUGCUAGGCACACAUCGCCUGGUGUUGUGGGCAGGCUAAUGGGCCUUGACAUAAUGCCUUCACUUGGAGUGCACAGCCAAGAUACAUGUAACGGGGACCGUUCACAGGGCAGGUCGCCAGGGAGUUGCAGUGAUAAAUCAGGGAAUUAUAGUGACAGGCAUGCCUUCUCGGGAGAUGUUCCACAUAGGGCAAGCACUGAUGAGAUUCCAGAAUUCAAAGAUGUUUUCGAGGUAAUGGAGACCACCAAAACGAAGAACCGAAACCGUAACACGUGUUCUGGACAUGACAGGGUCAACAAUGCUGACCUUAAUUUUGUAAGGCAGAAGUUUAUGGAUGCAAAACGCCUUUCCACUGAUGAAUCUUUUCAGAGAUCGAAAGAGUUCAAUAGUGCGCUAGAGGCAUUGGUAUCAAACAAAGAUGCUCUCAUGGAAAUUCUUCAAGAAUCCAACAAUGUUGCCGCGAGUGAUCUGUCCGGCCUUGGUUGUCCUCCAUCCUCUGGUGUAAACCGGAUCACGCUGUUGAAACCAUCCAGAAGAAGUAAGUUUAUUGAUGCAGAUAUUGUGUAUCCACCAGAAGAUGACACUGAACGGUGUUUUCACUCACCAAAAGAAGCAAAGCAUUCUCCAAGGAAGCCUCAUAGUAACUUUUCCAGUGAACCUCCCAGAGAAGAAACCGGUUCUUUCAGACAAAAGUUGUCUAGGUCAAGCUACAGGGAGAGCAUUGAUAAGCGUGUUUCUCCCACUCGGAUUGUUGUCUUGAAACCAUGCCUUGAUAAAAAUCUGAACAUGGAAGGAGCAUUUCCAAUAACCAAUGACAUGUUCUGCUCCAGUUACAGAAGGACUGAAGCAUGCCUGGAUGAUGGCAUUCAAAGGCAGCAUGCAGAAGAAUCCAUGCCUCAGAUCUCCACAGCAUAUCCCGAUGCACGGCGCCAGAGAGCAAAGGAGUCCAGAGAAAUUGCUCGAGAGGUUUCAACACAGAUGAAGACAGUUGCUGCUGUCAGGGGAGGUGCAAAUGGAAAGCAGAAACUCAGUCCAGAUAUUGGGACGUCCAACCAGGAUGAGCAGGUGUCUUUGUUGACAUCCAUGGCUAAGCUAAAAAGUUCGGCAGCAUUGCAAAGAUCUUCUGGUGUGCAUGAUGCUCCGGAUGGUUCUUGCGCAGGGACUUCACCGACACAUUCAGCUAAGAGAUCCAUCAGGAAGGAAGCAAGGAGACGCCUAGCUGACAGAUGGAGGACGACCCAGCAACAUCAACAUCCAUCACAAGAUGGUAAUGCUACAUUCAGCACACUCGGGGACAUGCUUGCUCUCUCUGACAAAGAGACCUCAAAGUUUACUUCAGGGGCAGCAGCUAGCCGGCAAUGGCCAGAGGGCGAGUCACAUAGGGAUGUGAUGCCAGGAUCAUGUGGUUAUCCUCUUGGUAUCAGCAGCAAUGAUGGCUGGAAAGAUGAUAACAUAUGUGGCUUAACAAGGUUGGAGUCUGUUUCUACAUCAUCCAUCAACCGAGGGAGUCCGAAAUCGAGCAGCAGAAAAGCAAGUUGCACACAUGGUGAAUAUUCUGUGGCAGAGAACAUCAUCGGAUCAGGGCCAUAUAGUUCUGAAGAUCUGCAUCAGGACAGACCAAGGAGAUCGUCAGUCAGAAGUUCGACAUAUCGCUCUGAUGAAAGCGAUGUGCAGUCUCUGGACGAAGUGCAAAGUGUGGUGACCGAACGCGAGAUCCAUGUGAAUUUUGAAGAACCAACUUACACCGGUGCAGUGCCAGAGCUAUCUGAAACUGGAGGAAGACUUGUGCAUGUUGGAAAUUCUGACCAUUUGGAUAGCAGCCAUGCAGUUCCAAAAUGGCAGGGUGAGGCCCAGUCUUCUGCACAGAACAUGAUGCUGGACCAAGAGCACGCAUUCGCAGCAGAUGACCAUUUUAUUGUCCCUAGUCCUAGAUAUUCAGCAUCUCAGAUUGAGGGGAAUGGGCACGAUCGAUGUGAUGAUAAUGAAGCUCCGUCCGAUCAUCUGACAGAACUAGUAUCCGUCGUGAGCUCCAACGAAGACGAACAACCGAGUCCGGUGUCCGUCCUCGGAUCGUCCGUGGAUGCCGAGGACUGUUGUUCAGGAGGUUUUGAGAAAAUAAGUGCAGACCUUCAAGGGCUCAGGAUGCAACUUCGGCUGCUCAAGAUGGAGGCGACGGGCGACGGGGACGACGAAACCGACCUCGCUCUGUUCACUGACGAUGACGAGGCCGCCGCGAACUGCGAGCCGGCCAAUGAAAGCGCGCCGACAACGUCCCGGACUUUCCGGGAUGAAGACGAGAGGGACUUCUCUUAUGUGGCUGACAUGCUCACAUUUCUAGGAAGUAUUCAGAGCUCUGAGCAUGAUCUUCUGCUCGACGCGCGCUAUCUGUCGGGAUCUCGCGGGCGUGGCGACGUGUACGAUGAUCUCGAAAGGAAGUACGGCGAACUCGUCUUGUGGCCGCGGCCUGAGAGGCGGCUCCUCUUUGAUCUGGCAAAUGAUGUCCUUGUAGAUACCAUCACCUAUUUGACACAAUGUGGCAGUCAGCAGGGGUUGGCGAAGAAGUGUCAGCUGGGCAUGGAAUGGGACAAGGAGCAGAUCACGGAGGAGGUUUGGGAGAGGGUGCGCCGGCAACGGCGGGAGACAGAGUGCUUCCAGGAGGAGAAGCUGAUGGGCGUGGGGUGGCUGGACUGCGAGGAUGUCACUGAUGAGAUAGUGGAGGACAUUGGGAGCAUGCUGGGUGAGGAUCUCCUGGAGGAAGCCAUAGCUGAUCUGUACCUGCUGGACCUUUUUGGUUAA
Molecule: ribosomal RNA, 3042 nt
Filed under: Triticum aestivum (bread wheat)
Lineage: Eukaryota; Viridiplantae; Streptophyta; Magnoliopsida; Poales; Poaceae
Description: partial small subunit ribosomal RNA
Source: RNAcentral